GAGCGGUAGAGAGAAGCUUGCUUCUCUUGAGAGCGGCGGACGGGUGAGUAAUGCCUAGGAAUCUGCCUGGUAGUGGGGGAUAACGUUCGGAAACGGACGCUAAUACCGCAUACGUCCUACGGGAGAAAGCAGGGGACCUUCGGGCCUUGCGCUAUCAGAUGAGCCUAGGUCGGAUUAGCUAGUUGGUGAGGUAAUGGCUCACCAAGGCGACGAUCCGUAACUGGUCUGAGAGGAUGAUCAGUCACACUGGAACUGAGACACGGUCCAGACUCCUACGGGAGGCAGCAGUGGGGAAUAUUGGACAAUGGGCGAAAGCCUGAUCCAGCCAUGCCGCGUGUGUGAAGAAGGUCUUCGGAUUGUAAAGCACUUUAAGUUGGGAGGAAGGGCAGUUACCUAAUACGUGAUUGUUUUGACGUUACCGACAGAAUAAGCACCGGCUAACUCUGUGCCAGCAGCCGCGGUAAUACAGAGGGUGCAAGCGUUAAUCGGAAUUACUGGGCGUAAAGCGCGCGUAGGUGGUUUGUUAAGUUGGAUGUGAAAUCCCCGGGCUCAACCUGGGAACUGCAUUCAAAA
RNAcentral lists this ribosomal RNA (573 nucleotides) under Pseudomonas extremaustralis 14-3. Its description in RNAcentral is "bacterial SSU rRNA". It matches the Rfam family "Bacterial small subunit ribosomal RNA", at positions 64 to 632 of the family's 1533-position model. Lineage: Bacteria; Pseudomonadati; Pseudomonadota; Gammaproteobacteria; Pseudomonadales; Pseudomonadaceae. The record is from RNAcentral.